RNAcentral lists this ribosomal RNA (516 nucleotides) under uncultured Bacteroidota bacterium. Its description in RNAcentral is "bacterial SSU rRNA". It matches the Rfam family "Bacterial small subunit ribosomal RNA", at positions 28 to 545 of the family's 1533-position model. Lineage: Bacteria; Pseudomonadati; Bacteroidota. The record is from RNAcentral.
GAUGAACGCUAGCGGCAGGCUUAACACAUGCAAGUCGAGGGGUAUAGGUUUUCGGACCUAGAGACCGGCGCACGGGUGCGUAACGCGUAUGCAAUCUACCUUUUACAGAGGGAUAGCCCAGAGAAAUUUGGAUUAAUACCUCAUAGUAUUAUUGAAUGGCAUCAUUUAAUAAUUAAAGUCACAACGGUAAAAGAUGAGCAUGCGUCCCAUUAGCUUGUUGGUAAGGUAACGGCUUACCAAGGCAACGAUGGGUAGGGGUCCUGAGAGGGAGAUCCCCCACACUGGUACUGAGACACGGACCAGACUCCUACGGGAGGCAGCAGUGAGGAAUAUUGGUCAAUGGGCGCAAGCCUGAACCAGCCAUGCCGCGUGCAGGAUGACGGUCCUAUGGAUUGUAAACUGCUUUUGUACAGGAAGAAACAGUUCUACGUGUAGAACCUUGACGGUACUGUAAGAAUAAGGAUCGGCUAACUCCGUGCCAGCAGCCGCGGUAAUACGGAGGAUCCAAGCGUUAUU